RNAcentral lists this ribosomal RNA (253 nucleotides) under uncultured bacterium. RNAcentral describes it as "partial 16S ribosomal RNA". It matches the Rfam family "Bacterial small subunit ribosomal RNA", at positions 524 to 776 of the family's 1533-position model. The record is from RNAcentral.
UACGUAGGGGGCAAGCGUUGUCCGGAAUCAUUGGGCGUAAAGCGCGUGUAGGCGGUUCGAUAAGUCUGCUGUGAAAGUCCAGGGCUCAACCCUGGGAUGCCGGUGGAUACUGUCGGACUAGAGUACGGAAGAGGCGAGUGGAAUUCCCGGUGUAGCGGUGAAAUGCGCAGAUAUCAGGAGGAACACCGGUGGCGAAGGCGGUUCUCUGGGCCGGUACUGACGCUGAGGAGCGAAAGCGUGGGGAGCGAACAGG